This 739-nucleotide ribosomal RNA is filed under the name uncultured bacterium. RNAcentral describes it as "bacterial SSU rRNA". It matches the Rfam family "Bacterial small subunit ribosomal RNA", at positions 94 to 823 of the family's 1533-position model. The record is from RNAcentral.
AGCGGCGGAUGGGUGAGUAACACGUGGGGAACCUGCCCCUAAGUCUGGGAUACCAUUUGGAAACAGGUGCUAAUACCGGAUAAUAAAGCAGAUCGCAUGAUCAGCUUUUGAAAGGCGGCGUAAGCUGUCGCUAAGGGAUGGCCCCGCGGUGCAUUAGCUAGUUGGUAAGGUAACGGCUUACCAAGGCGACGAUGCAUAGCCGAGUUGAGAGACUGAUCGGCCACAUUGGGACUGAGACACGGCCCAAACUCCUACGGGAGGCAGCAGUAGGGAAUCUUCCACAAUGGACGCAGGUCUGAUGGAGCAACGCCGCGUGAGUGAAGAAGGUUUUCGGAUCGUAAAGCUCUGUUGUUGGUGAAGAAGGAUAGAGGUAGUAACUGGCCUUUAUUUGACGGUAAUCAACCAGAAAGUCACGGCUAACUACGUGCCAGCAGCCGCGGUAAUACGUAGGUGGCAAGCGUUGUCCGGAUUUAUUGGGCGUAAAGCGAGCGCAGGCGGAAAAAUAAGUCUAAUGUGAAAGCCCUCGGCUUAACCGAGGAACUGCAUCGGAAACUGUUUUUCUUGAGUGCAGAAGAGGAGAGUGGAACUCCAUGUGUAGCGGUGGAAUGCGUAGAUAUAUGGGAAGAACACCAGUGGCGAAAGCGGCUCUCUGGUCUGCAACUGACGCUGAGGCUCGAAAGCAUGGGUAGCGACAGGAUUAGAUACCCUGGUAGUCAUGCGUAACGAUGAUGCUAAGUGU